CAAUACAACAAUCGCCACAGAUCAUUGUCUGGUGACAAUCAGCAACCCAUGGUAUCCUAGCAACCAGGCCAUGUUCGCACAGCAACAAUAACAUCAGCUGCAGCAAGACUCGGUUCAGCCAUCUUCAAUGUUAGGACAGCAACCUAAUUGCACAAUGUGCUCCUAGAUACAAACAUCGUCAUAGAUCUCUCUCCAAUCGCUUGAAGCUUUCACCAAACUGCUUCAUAUUUAGCUACCAGCAGUAUCCAUGCAACAGUAUCCAUGAAACAAACCCAUAAUUGCCCAGCAACAGCUUCAUCAGCAGCAGUGGUCAGGUCAGCCGUCAACCAUGUUUGGGCAGCCAAGGCGCAGUAGUUUGUUGAAACGUCAGCUCAGUUGACUCACGCCGCUCAGAGCAGAUCAGCGGGCUUUCAUGUCGCAGCACAACAUCUCAAAGGGAUCCAUGCGAGGUCAGCCCUCCCAACAGUGCCAUACCCAUGACGAUGAAGUCCUCCAACUCGCCCCAGUACUCACCUUGGUGUCAGGGAAAGGUUUAAGACACCAAUCAACACAAUCAAACGGGCCAAUCAGAAAGACAGCCUGUUGCAUCAGUUAGUCAUACCUCGGAAGAUCAGUUAUGAAUAAAAUUUAAGCACAUGCUACUUUCUAAGUUCCCUUAUUGGUCGCGUUAUAGCCUCGCCUUCUGUUGUGAACAAUAACAAUGAUCGAAGAUCUCAUCUUGGAAUUGUGGGAUGGGUCGGAAACGAGUGGCAUAGUUCAAAAUGAAAUUGCAGAAUGACAAAGCAUACCAAGUCAUGUGGCCAGCCAUAAAGUCGUGUGGCAUGCCACAUUGUGGAAUGCGACCAGCGAAUACAUUUCAUGUAGUAUGGGCAUAAUAAUGCUGUCAAUGAUUUGAUAUAAAUGUUUUUGUUUAAACGGGAUUUUGGAAAAACUUAGAAUUAAGAGUUUGCAUACGCUGACU
This is a long non-coding RNA of Dreissena polymorpha, 961 nucleotides long. RefSeq lists it as uncharacterized. Lineage: Eukaryota; Metazoa; Mollusca; Bivalvia; Myida; Dreissenidae. The transcript is spliced from 4 exons. The record is from RefSeq and is a predicted model, not a curated record.